AGUCAAGUCAUCAUGCCCCUUACGUCCAGGGCUGCACACGCGCUACAAUGGCCGGUACAAAGGGCUGCAAACUCGUGAGGGUGAGCCAAUCCCAAAAAGCCGGUCUCAGUUCGGAUCGCAGUCUGCAACUCGACUGCGUGAAGUCGGAGUCGCUAGUAAUCGCAGAUCAGCACGCUGCGGUGAAUACGUUCCCGGGCCUU
This 200-nucleotide ribosomal RNA is filed under the name uncultured organism. RNAcentral describes it as "partial small subunit ribosomal RNA". It matches the Rfam family "Bacterial small subunit ribosomal RNA", at positions 1183 to 1382 of the family's 1533-position model. The record is from RNAcentral.